CAAAUGGAUCAAUUCAAAUGAAUCAAUCAUGCAGAUACAAUCAAAUGGAUUAUAUUUAUCCAUUUUCAAGACCACUUUCCAUUUAUUUGGUUCUCUUUUCCGAAGUGUUUCUGAGGAAAAAUAAAAGACAUAUUUCCCGUGAGGUAGUCUAUUUGGAAUGAAUUAUUCAAAGGGCAACCCAGCAAUGUGUGCGCUUCCAUAGGCAACACGCCGUCCACUGCUUUAAGGAAACAUAAUGUAAAUAGAUAAAGCAGUUAGCAGGAAUCUUUUCCUCAAACGAGGGCUCACCCAGAAACCCAAGAUGUAAAACAGAGCCACCUGGAUGUAUUCUGAUCAUGGAGGGGAGCCCGGCCCACAGCCCACCUGCUGCACUGACCUGCCCCUCUGAGUAAGGACUUCAAGAUAGAAAUGCAUUUCCUCCAUGUGCGAAUGAAGAAACUAGAGAAGACAUCACCAUUUUCCCUUCUAGAAAAUAUAUCCCAGGUAGUAGGGGAUUUCAGAGCUGACUGAAUGAUGCAACCAAAAGAACCUCCUGACUGAGCAUAAGAAAUACCCGCAGAUCCAAUGUGCAGCUUGAGGAGUGGAAUGAAGGUCAACUGAAGGCAGAAAUAGACAAAUGCUCCUCUAAAGGAGCCAGAGACUGGUGCCCACAAGAGAUGCUUGGAGAUGGGAGUGGCAGGGAGGCAUUUUGGAAAUGGGGGAAAAGGAUCUGAUCUCAAGCAAAUACAAAUCUUCACACUUGUAUGGAACUUUGGAAUUGAAGGAACAUUUCCCAC
RNAcentral lists this long non-coding RNA (776 nucleotides) under Equus caballus (horse). RNAcentral's name for it is "lncRNA (ENSECAG00000045756.1)". Lineage: Eukaryota; Metazoa; Chordata; Mammalia; Perissodactyla; Equidae. The record is from RNAcentral.